This is a long non-coding RNA of Passer domesticus (house sparrow), 14836 nucleotides long. RefSeq lists it as uncharacterized. Lineage: Eukaryota; Metazoa; Chordata; Aves; Passeriformes; Passeridae. The transcript is spliced from 4 exons. The record is from RefSeq and is a predicted model, not a curated record.
GCGGUGCUUAGACAUCAGUGCUUUACACCUUUCCUAGCAUGACUGUAGUGACUUUCCUGUUCCAGCAUCUUUGAUGUCCUUGACAAAAAUACCUAUCAGGACUUGAAGUGCCACCAUUGUGCUCAUUCACUGUUAUGCCACCAGCAGCUACAGUUUUCCUUCCACAAUACUUGAUAUGCAUUGUGAAAUAGUGUGCUAUGGGUUAUGUUACAAGUAAAAAAUUUUUGAAAACUUAUAUUUCAGCUGUUUGACAAGCAAGUUUUUUUCCAAAGUAAUAAGAACAGGUUUGUGUCCAAACACAUCUUAAACCCCUUUAUUUACAAUCACAUGAGUAAAAAAAAAAUCUUUUCGGCAUACAACUUCUUAUUUGAGUUCUAACAGAUGAGAUUCUGUUCAAACCGUAGCACUGUGGCUGUGAUGGACACAGAACAGGGCAAAGCAUAUCUGGUUUUCAACCUGAGAGGAAAUUUUCCCCCUACCCUGUCCCCCUCAAAAAUGUUUUCAAGAGAAGAUCAGACACAGGUUUUUAAUGCCUGGGGAAAAACAAAACAUGACCCACGAUAGAUUUAGGCACUUCCAUUUUUGCUUACUAUUUUUAAAAGCAUACAUGUUAUUUAAAAAUAAUUAGGCUGAGCCAGUUUAUGUGCAAUGUAUAUAUUGCACAUAUGUCUAGAGGAAACCAGAAACAGGGUUGUAUAAUUGUAACCUUACUGCACUGAAGGCCUGGCAUAAUUACCAUUGAGAGAGAGAAAGCCAAGGAGAUUUUAUCUGUCAUAUUUAUUUCCCCAUGUAAAUAUAUUAAAACCAAACAAAAAUAAACUUUUGAUUCACAGCUUGACCCAGUUUAUAUAGUGUGCAUUUCAUUCUUUAUUAUUAUUAUUAUUAAUAAUAAUUUCCCACAUACUCAUGUGCAGUACAGCACUUGAGAUGGCAAUCUGGAAGGCUGAUUUUUUCAGCUGCUGCAAAUUUCUUCUGUUGCUGAUGAAAAAAAGGCAUCUUCAAAUAUGCACAGGAAUAAUUAAUGGGUUUUAUCUCUGAGUGGCAAGUGACGCUGCAUGGGGCAAAAGUACUUUUUACUGUUUAAAUGUGAGCAUGGGCAUCUGCGUAGCCUUUUGGCCCUUUAAAAAGAAGUAAGUCAGUAUAAUAAGGCUGUUGUCAAUGUGUAAUAUAGGUAAUAUGUGUAAUAUGUAAUGAAUCAUGGGACUGAAUGUGAGGAAGAAAGUCUAUUGAGUCGAGAUAUCCCAGAGGCUUUGGUCUGGCACGUGACUGAUGUUUCUCUGUAUCCUCGGAUUCAACACCAAGGCCAACUUCACUCGCAAAGAAAAGAUCCAGUUAAAUAAAGACCAUAUGAACCCUGCUAAAAUAAUACAGUUUGAGUAAAUCAAUGCCUUAAGACUUUCUUACAAGUAUAUUAAGAAAUUCACUGGAAGGGAACAGUGCAUUUCAAGUGAGUACCAGUUAGGGACUUUAACACGCUCCACUCUAUCUUUGUGAUCUUGCAGGAGGUGGGAUAGAUUUUCUCCACACAGAGCACACGUUUUCAUUUUUGCAGCACAUUGUAAACACACUUUUCAUACUAAUGCCUUGUUUUGUUUCGGUUCUUUUCAAAGAUUAUGCAUUAGUAAUUUGUGCAUCACAUGUUGGCAAGCGGAAUCACAGUGUAUUAUGCACACUACUAAUGUGAGACAGAAACCUCAGCAUAUUCUAGCUCUCUUCUCAUAUCUUGUUAGCAUCUGUUUGUGGUAGGCUGGGAUGAUGAGGUGCUAAUAUGAUACAGUGAAGGAAGUGUAAUCCAUGAACAUUUUUGUGUCACAUUUGUGUAAUAUAUUACACUAAUCCAACCAGACUUUCAUGUGCUCUUGCCCAAGGAAUGCCAUUCCAGCCUCGUCCCUUCCCCCAUCAAUGCCUUUGAAGGUUUGUGAAUGAUUUCCUGUACACAGGCUGUAUAAGAAUGUGCUCGCAUUCUUUCUCCCAUUGAGGAAGGAGUUCUUUAUAUGCCCACUUGCUUUCAGGGUAACAAUGAACAUGAACAAAUUCAUGAACAAAUUACUCUAAGGAGGGAGGCAUGUUCAAUUUUACUCUUCUUUCUCAGCUUAGAGGUAAAUGAAGUAGAAGGUGCACUCUUUCCAAUAAGCAUAAGAUCCAUUCAGAGUGUUUGGUGCAGUGUCUAGGGGCUGUUUUUGAACAGAACCUUUCUGCAGCAGCAGUCUGCAGUUUGCACUGCAGUAAGCAGGAUGUCUGAACUGACAGCCAUGGUCUCCUCCCAGGAGAUACCAUCAACCAGUGCCACCCUGCAGACUGGUUCAAAUUUUUCACCUUGUUGGCCAUAUGCAACUUACUAGGUCUACUUUUCCUAUCCAUGAUAAUUUUUGCCCUGGAUUGUUCUUCAGGUGAUAUCUACAUCUUUCUAUUUAGGUGCUUAUGUAGGGUUAGCACACUGGGAUCCUACUCUGAUUGGAACUUCUUGCCAGUUCUGUGAUAGAAAUAAAUACAGUAGCAAAAUGAAAUCAUAAACUCCAAAAUUUCAUUAUAGUUAGAGUAUAUAAUUUUACAUCUUGCCUCCUGAUUCAGGAAGCAAAAGCCCAGCAAAAAUCUGGAUGGAAAACAUGAAAUUAGAAAGUCAUCAUGGUUUUGGCAAGUAACUGGGUAUUUCUCCUCUUUGUGUAGCCUCAGCCUCAGUUAGAAUUUAUAAGGAGUAGUGUAAGAAAGAUAACCAGUAGUGAAAUCUGACUGUACUGUGGAGUCAUAUGAUACUAGAAUGCCCCGACAUCCUUUGUAUGGUGUAACUCUUUAGGUUGGUCAUCCUAUAACUUCCCAAGUGCUACAUGCAUUGCAAGUUCACAGCUUGACUAUCCCUGUGGUGGACAAUGCAACAGGUGCUCCUUCUACCAUAGGAAAAUACAUAUUUUUUUUUUGGCUGGUAUUUUUGCCCAUUAGAGAUGCUGCAGCUUCAGGAAACAAUGUCUCAACAGCCUUGGCAAUAUGGGGAAGACUAUUCCUGUUGGAAAAGCAAGGAGAAAGUGGGUGCACAUGUUCUAAUAAAUUAGGAAGUGUCUGUAAAAUUUCAUAGCUCUAAAAUGCAGUCUUGUACACUGCCAAGUUGUUGACAUGCUUUGCCUUGUACUAAAUAACAUUUCUUGAGCAAGUCUCAAACAACAGCCACAAAAUUAUUUUGGACAACUUACUCAGCCCAAGAUGAUUAGCAGACUUCUGCUUUGGACUACAAGCAGCUCUUUGAAUUCCUUCCCUGGUAGAUCCUGCUUGAUUAGCUUUUGAGUUUUUAUAUUUUACCAGAUAUGGCAGGAAGAAGAUUGACUUCAGGUGUCAUCAUUCAUUGCAAAGUGAAAGUGGGUUUAAAAUUAUUUCUCUUUUUGUUUUGAGCCAAAAUUGGGUAGUAUUAUAUCUGAAUUACUUGGAGAAUAUUUGUCUAGAAUAGCACAGCAUGGCAGCAUAGCAUCUUAAAGUGUCAAAUUACCUGAGUGUAAACCUCUGCAUUCUAUGUCCAAACUGUGGUCCUAUGAUGCUUCUCAGCUUUGUUCCCUGAGUCACAUUCAAACUCAUCCACAAUUCAGGUUAGAAUGAUACCAAGCUGCACACGAUCUCCUCUUGAGCCUUGGUGGGCUUUCUGUUUGCUUGGUUGUUUGGAUUUUCUUUUACUCAUGAAAAAGAACCAAACCAACACCACAAUGCAGAGUGACAAAGAGACGUGAUGGUUUUCCUGUCCUGGACAGUGACCAGAGUCACUGGUUGUGCCAUGCAGCACUUUUGUCCUCAAAACAGGCAUAGAUAUUGUAAAGCAAAGACAAGCCAUGCUCACCUCUUCCCUAAGCAAGCAAGCUGAACAUUGUAGUAUUUUUGUUUCAUGAAGCAUAAUAAUAUUAGUUAUGAGAAUUAACCUCACAGAAGAAUGACAUAAACCUCAAGUGCUUGAGGGUAAUGUUGAUGUAAAAAAGAUGAGUAUAUACAAACAGUGCAUUAACUUGUCAUUACAAUAUGGAAAAAUAAUGCAUUUUUAUUUCAUGUACCGACUUCCUAUUGAUGUGAUGAGGAUUUGAGCAUAGUUAGUUUACUGAAUGUACUGGUAAAGCAAAGAUGAAUAAAAUUAAAAUAAAGGAUGUAUAAAUUGUAAAACAGGAAAAAAUGGAAUAGACAGAAUCUUUCAGAGUCCCAUGAGCUGUUCUUAAAACAUUUUUUCUCUAAGAAUUACUCUUUUACUCAUGUCUUUCCCUGACAACAUUAUGCUUUUUAUCUCAUUUUAAUAAAAAGAUAGCAUUUGAGAGUAUCUCAGAAUCCAGCAUCUCAGCCUCUGCCUUUGUUGUUUAAAUUACAAAAAGAAAGGGAAGAAAAGAAAAGCCAAAAUCCAAACCCAAAGCCUUUCAAGGGAACCUGAUCAAUGUGUUUUGGGCCUCUGCUUUAUGAUUCAAAGCUUCCUCAACAGCCAUUAAAAUCAGGAAUCUUGAUCAUCCAUUCCAAAAAAAAGCCAUUGUAGCAGGACUCCAGUGCAAUAACAGAGAACCAAACUUUAUCUGAUGCUAUCUGUUGUGAAGUGGAGGUUUAACAAUAGGAAAAGGUGCUACCCCCAGGCUUUCCCUGAGCCACUGUGUGCCUCUUUUCUCUCAUCUUGCAGAAGACUUUAAAGCCAGAGCAUUCCCAAGAGGUCAAGUGUUGGGCUAUUGAGACUAUAAAGAUCUUGUGACCUCUCAGAAGGCCUCUCCAGGCCAUGUGCCACAAGCAAAGGAGAAAAAUGAAGACAGGAAGACUCUUCAUUUUAGAAAGAUGCUGGAGGGAUGGAACUGAGUUGGUAGGGAAUUGCCUAGAAGGAAGAGGUGCUUAUUCUUCAGAUACCAAAGAGAUGCUAUCAUGGCUGCCCAGCUGAGAGUUUUGUAGCAGGAAUGAACUUUCUUCAAUAUUUAUAAAUGCUUUGGAAGGAUUGUAUUGUUUCUUUUGUAAGGUUUCCAGUGAAGAUAGUGAAAAUUGUUGUUUUAUCUGGGAAAACAACGUUUGUUUGCACUUUCAGUUUGUUACUUUUACUCUCCUGUUAAUAAUAUGUAUCUGGGGAAGGAAAUGUUUUAUCCCAAUGUCUGCUUUCUUGGUAUUUGAUUCUAAAAGCUACACUUUAUGUGGCAAGAAUUGGCAAAUGCUUUUUCCAGAUACUGGGAGAAAAUGAGACCCUUUUUGGCCAUCUAAAAAUUUGAAAAGACAUGCUUUUACCGUAAUGAAAAAAUGUAGGUGCACAUGGAACAGAGAUAUUACACUGAUAAAUUAAAUUAUUUUAUUUCUGAUCAGCAUAAUCAUUUGCUGGAGGCAGCCAGAAUUAAGGGUAGCUGUGGACCAAAGGUCUGUAUUAAAGUCUGAAUUUCCUACAUGUUGCUGUUCUGUGACAUCUGACUGGGAAUAGAGAAGAAUUAGUUUAUUAUCUCUACAAGCUCUUUGCUGAUAACCAAGGCCUGUUUUAAAGAUUAAGCCUGUUUAAAUACAGUCACUGUUCAAAGCAUAGAGGCAGUCCUGUCUGCUGGGAGAGGAGACCUCUGGAAAUACAUCUGUAUCAUCUCUGAUGUUUGAGCACACUUUAGGAAAGGAGCCUCCUAAAAUUAUAAAAUUAUGGGUUCAUUAGCCGUACUAACUGUCAACAAAGGGUAAGUGAUUUGUUUAAACAAUCAAACACUACACUAAUUAGCAUUAUAAUACAACAUUCAGGAAGUCUUCAAGUCCCAUAAAUAUGUGUAAGACAUGGGAAAUUGGUCUUUUGGGGCUGACUCAAUAAUAGGGCAGUCCAGAUAAUUAAGUUUGUGCAGUAAAUGAAAUACAGUGUUAAGGGACUAGAUUAUAACACAUGCAGUCUUCAUUGGUGUAGAUUGGUGUCUGCUUGAAGGGCUAUUGAUAACCCAGCAUGAUGCAUAGGAAAUCUCAAAAAUAAAAUUUAAAGAUAGGAAGUUCAGAUAAGACAACAUCACAUUUUCCCUUAAAAAAAUGAAGAAAGGGUGAAACAAAAGUUUCAGUAUGAAAAAGUUGUUACUUAGAACCACUUUCUCACUGGAAAAACUGUAACAAAAAAAAAAAAAGAAAAGCAAAAGAAAAAAUAAAAUAAAUUGGUAGUUCUAUGUGUGAGCACUAAAAAAAUUUUGCAAACGUAUCUCUUCACUUAUCUUUUUAGAAUGAAAAUAAUGUGCUCUUCUAUAUAGAUGAAACAAGCAUAGAAAUAUCUGCAUUCAUAUAAUAUUUUAAUAUUUAUUUAUAGUAUAUAAUUUAUUAUGUAUUAUUUAUGUAGUUUAAAAUAUUUAUUUACAGUAAAAACCCAAACAUUUAUUGCUAAUAUUUUUCACAUUUGCUCAUUCAAACAAUGAAGAAAAGACAAUGUAAGGAGAAUACAGAAUGGUCAUAAAGGUGAAAAGAUUCCUAAUUCACUUGAAAUAAUGCACUUUAUUUCUUGUGAAUAAUGUUGCCCAGAAUAUAGAGGGAGUUCAAUCCAACUCAACUUUAUAUUUUGCAUUGCACUUGAUUGCUUCGUAGGAUGGCUCCAUAGGUCCAUAUUUUGUACACACACAAAAUAGGAUUCUCAAAGGGUAGAGUGAAAUUUUCACCUCAUGGUGCACAGGUCAGAAAUUAAGACCAAAUUGAAUAAUAUAGUUUUCUUGCUACAGCAAAUAUUGUUUACAUUUUUCUGUAAAUUUUAGCUUGUACUGUCCCAUUGAAAUAUUUGGAAGAAGUUGUUUGGCCUCAGUGGAAACAAUCCUCUCAGGAGUCUGUGAUCAGGUUUACAGGGCAGACAACCACAAUUUCUUCGUUAUGGUUUUGAUACAGAUUUUUGUGAUUUUUUUUCCAGGCUGGUUCAUUUUGAUCUCAAUGGAGCUAAGCAGCACAGUUACUCAAGCAAAAGGUACCAGGGUAAAAUUUAUAGAUCCUUGAAGAUGGCUAAGCAGAGCUGACACAGGAGCUGCUGAAGCACUCAAUGGGAGUAGGAUUGUAGGCACAAAAGAGAUCUAAGGCAGGAAGUUCUUACAGAGUUUCCUUCCUCAUAUUUAUGUCCCAAGAGUUUUGCUCAUUAUUCAAUACUCAGAGGCAAUCUAAUCACUGUUGGCAUCACUUAGCACUUCUGGGUUCAGUUUCCCAGUCUGCCACUUGCACUUAGAGUAAUUUUCUCUGGUCUCCUAGUUUAUUUAUUUUAAAUAAAACCUGUUUUGUUAUUUAUUCUGUUCACUUGAAUUGAGUAACAUUAAUUCAUUUAAAACAUUUACAUAAAAAAAUAAACCUUUUAUAUGUAGGAAGCUACCAAUUUAAUUUUAAGUAAAAUAGAAUAAUAUAUACUUCUCAGUAUAUUAUCUACUUGUAAAGUACAUAGACAACUGCAAUCAAAAUUAUGCACAAAUAUUUAUGUAAACAGAUAUAUGUGUCUAGAUUAUUUGAAAUUAAAUUUGUGCUUGUGAACAGACAAAAAAGUCACUUCUGACAUUAUGAUGAAAGUAAUAUAAUCUUUGCUGCUUUCUUCCUCAUUGAGUUGUGUAUUUUAAAUUAUCUAAUUUUUCUCUAAGACUUUAAGUGAGAAAAUGUCUUUGCCAGUCUCCAAAUUAAGAGUGAAUUUCCUUCUCAACGUGUUUGGUUAAAACAACCAUUGGCCUUCUACUCACCUCUGUUGGAGAAAAAUGUAUUUGUCCCAGAUGUAUGUAUAAAUGUAUCAUGCAUCCAGUAUUUCUCAUCAGGAAACUUAAGAUAUUGAGGACAUGAUUUUUAAAGUGUCUCUCGCCAGAUGUUCUUUGUGCUCAUUCUUACAUUUCUUUGACCAUCUCUAAACAUUUUGCUUUACGUGUUUCUGUGAGGAUCCCAUUCACAGGAAACUUCAAAAGCUCUGUACCAGUCCUCCUGUUGUAUAGGAUGCAAGGGGACCCGUCAUCUGAGCCAGCAUCCCUGCCACGAGCCGUUUAUUGCAACAAAAGGCUCAUCAUCAUCAUCAAGGUUCAUGAGACGGCUCGUCAUCAGUCACUCCUGGUGCAGAAGGUGUCAGAUCUACUGCUGGAGAACAAGGAUAAUUUGGACUUUGCUUUUUGAAAUGGAAAAAUGUCAGGGGCUGCAGACAGUCACCUGUAAAUUGGUUGAUGAUUUUCCACUUUUUUCAAAGUAAACUCUUGCUGUGAUCCUUUUUUUUCCCCCUAAUUUUGCCUUUGAAAGGCAAGCUGAUUUUAUCCAAUCAGGACAUUUUAGUUUACUCUCAUAUUUUAAAUUCCAAGGAAUUUUAUACUUUUAAAUUCUAGUUCUAGUUUGUAAUGCUUUUUUUUUUUUAUGAUGCUGUAAUUGAAAGGGCUGAGAAAUCAUUACUAUAGACAUUGGAAAUAUUUUUAUAGAAGUCUACAGUAAAUUAUAAGCCUGCCUGACACUGUCAUAUAUCUUUUAAGGGUUUGGCCUAAAUUUUGACAGUUUCAGCACUAAUGUUGGCAAGAACACAGCUGCAUGUUCUGACAAGAGAACAUCGAUUUAAAUCUUUAGUUUGGAUGGGAAUAAUUGUACAUGUUAUGCAAAUUCUCUUUUUCAUUUCUUUUUCUUCAUGAGUUUUUUGUAAAAUCUUUGGUUAUUGGUGUGUGAGCUUAUUGUUUUAUCCUUUAUUGCUGCACUAUUUCUGAUUUUUCUUCCCCGUAAAUAUAUUACUAAGCAAAAUUGAGACUUAUCUGUCACUGAGAAUUUAGGCAUGAUAUAUAGCACAUAUAUUGGGGGGAUUGUAUUUCUGGAGAUAAAGAUGUGAAAUACAGAAAGAACCCAUAUUUACAGUAAUCAUUUUUGAGGCAGGAAAAUAAGCCACCAUCUUGCAAGCACGUGCGUGACUCAUUUAACUGCAAGUAGUGUUUACUUUCAUUUACUUUAAACACAUGCUUAAAAUUAAGUAUGAUCAUAAGUGUUGAAGAAUCAGCACCUCCACAGAUAAAAGGGAAAGUGAGACAUGUAAGUUAUUUGCAUUCAGCUGAAGCAUUCAAUAUGGAGUCUCAUGAAAAUUGGACUGAAAAAUUAAUUCAGUUUGGUUUGAAUAUACACGCUCUUCUGUGGUUUGAAGAGUCUUCAAAGGAGUUUGGUAAACAGUUAAGUAGCAAGUACCAAACUAGGUUAAAGUGUCUAGUGAGGUACCACAGGGAUCUCUAUUAGGUUUUAUUUAUUUAAGUGUCUUUAAGAACUAGAGGUGGGAUUCAGUUAGUGAGGCAUAUUAAAUGAAUAUUAAUGACCAGAGUUUAAUUAAAUUCACACUUAAUACUAAAUUGAAAAGAAGAUGCAAACAAUACAGGAAAAAUAAAGAGAAGGGAAAUCUUAUGGACAAGACAAAAUAAACUGAGGAUCAACCUGAGAAAACUGAUACAAGAGGGGGAAAAUAUUGUCAUGCCAAAGGCAGCUAUUCCAUAGGAGGAAAAAAAAUGCUGCAGAGAGACUUAAGAAUGACAGUAAGUAGCACAAAGCUCCACAUUCUUUUCUUCUUCUUCUUCUCCUGCUCUUUCUUUUUCUUUGUGUAUCUGUAUUGAGAAAGUAUUGUGUCAUUGGGCUGUUUUGGGCACCACCCUAUGAUAUUUUGUUCCUAUAUUGAAGUUUUGUUAUUGAAAAUAAACUGAUUGGUUCAUUUAACUAAUUAUUCAAAGAUAAAAAAGCACUGUCUCAGAAUACUGGAAGAAACAAAAAUUAGAUAUACAAGUAGUUACCUUGAGACCACCUGAAGACAGAAGGGAUUUUAUUUUGGACAGUAAAAAAUAUAUCAUUUAUAGGUAAAAAGAUGAAAGUAGAAGAAAAUAUCAUACGGGUUCCCUUUUAGGGUGGAAAUAUAUGUGUUUGGGUGGGGUCAGGGACUAUGAGGAAUGAUUGUACCUGACUGAGGCUUACCUUACCAAAAAAACCCCUAAAUUUUAUUGCCAUCAGUAAUUUCCUUGACAGGGGACAAACACUUGCAACAGGCCAAACAUUUUUUGACUCUGAGUCCCACAGUUCUAUAACACAAAUCACUCCUACACAUAAAAUGCCAGUCAGGAGUCUAAGUGUCAGGUUUAUGUGGUUCUAUAGUCUGCUAGGAGACAAGAUAUUCUAAAUUUCAUUAAUUUUUCUUUGUUAGUCAACCAUGUGUUCUAUAGUACUUGUAGCCUUAUCGCUGGCUGGGAAUACACAGAGGUGAUCCUUGAAAAUUUGAAAGCUCUUUGAAAGUUUGUUUUUCUUAUUAUAUAGCUUUGGGGCACAAGACACUGAACAUUUCAACAUGAAAGUUAAAAGGGGAACUCAUUUGUUAUUUUCUGCAUCUUACUGAUGUCCAUUCCUUCAUAGGCCCCCUCUGAUUUAUCAUCCUAAAGCUACAGAAUGGCUGUAGUUGAUGUUCUGUCAAAGUUGCAAAGAGAAUAGCUUACAGCUGUGCAUGGAUUGUAUUGAAAAAACCCAGCAUCCUAUGAUUUUACUUGUUCCUUCCUAGAUAGAGCUUAGCAGCCUGGGCAAAUAAUGCAUUUUUUUGUCUCAAACAUAAUGUGUCCAAAUGAGUAUUUAGAAUUGAUAGUUCAUACAAGAAAGUUAUACUGUAACUUAUGAGCUGAAAUGCACCUAUUGUUAUCUACUAGCUCUGUGUUUACUACCUAACACUCAUAUUUUCUUUCUCCAUUUGCUUCUCAUAUUUGUGGCUCUCAACAUGGUGUCCUUCUUUGGUCCAAAUUAAGGGUGCAUAGAACUUGAGAUCAGCCUCCAAAAUGAGGCAUUAGUCACAUAAAGUAAAUCGAAAAAGGAUUGAAAAUCCUAAUGGAUCUGCCCCAGCUGUGAAGAUGCCACAACAUUUCCCUUGCUGAAGGCUCACAGAAACCAAAGCAGUGUCCAUGCUAAGAACUACAGUUUACCUGGGCUCUAUCUCACUGCAGCAUCUGAGGAGGAUUCAGAGGUAAACAAAUGUUGAACUUCCAAUGGGCCAUCAGAACUUUAACUGCAGUUAUUCUCUAGCACAAGUCUACAUAAGGAAACUAUGACUGAAGUCAGUGCAGCCAUGCACAUGUAAAGACAAGACAGGUGUUAUGAGUCCAAACAGAUAUAGACAUAUUGCUACAGGGCUGCUCCUGUUGACCAGAGCAAACCCAGAUCUGCACCUUCUCCCUCCUUCAAUAUGGUGUGGAAACAGGACCAUGGCUGACUGGCCAGUGUUCCCCAAGUGAACCUUCUAUGUCAGUGGCUCAUAGACUGGAGCAGCUGCAAUCUGUUAGUAUCCACAGAUCAAAAGUGAAAAAAAUGAGUUUACUGAAAAGGACAAUACAGCAAAAUCAGGAAGAGGCAGGACAUGGACAGACAUAUCAAAAAUUCUUUUUUGUUUGCCCCUGUUAUGAACUGGAAUUGUUUGGGGGUGCCUCUGUAGACACAUUCAUCAGGAUUCACAGAAAUGUAGGGUUUUAAAUCCUGUAAGUUUCUGCUUUGUUAGGGAAGAUGGGAAGGCUGCAGGCAUCUGUCCAGCAAGUGAGCACCCAAAGCCAGCAUGAUGGGCUGCUGUGGGCAUCUGCUCCCGUUCCUGGCUCUUUUGUGGCCUGGACACUACCUGGGGACUCCUGUGCAGAGGGAAGGCAUCUGAGGGGAUACUCCUGCAGACUUCCCUGAACUCUGUUCACAGAAAAAAGGAGCAACGUUUCCCUUUGUGUAAAAGAAGCCCUCCCUCUACAUCUGUCCAGGCAUUGCUCCCAGAGGGGAUGGAAAGGCAAACUGGUUCUGGUCCUGGAAAGGAUGCCAGCUGUAUUACCCAACCCCUUGGCUCAACUACAGAUGCAUCAGGCUUAUGUAUAAUUGUGUUUGUCCAGUGUGAGUGAAGAUAAAAUGCUGAUGAGUUUGGUGUGAGAGCCCAGGCCACUUUUUCCCUUUGGCUGAGUAUUAACUGAGGCCAGACACCAUCCUGCCACUUCCCAGGCUGCCAUUCACACUGGGGAUGCUUCCCCUUUUCUGCUGAGUUUUCAAAGCAUUUGGUGAAGGACCUGCUAUUGAAUUAGUGCAAUGUGAUCAGCAGAGGUGAGAGACAAUCUUUUCAUAGCAACCUGUGGCAUUAAAGUUGAGAUACCAUCUUUCUUCAUUGGAUUAAUUUAAAACUUUAUUCUUUCCUUUCUGAGGUUGAGGGCACCUCAAGAAAAAUGAAACAGAGAUCUGCUGCCACCUUCUGACCACGUGGAAAUCCUUCCAUGUCCUCAGCACAGCAAACAGCGCUGUGGAACAGAAGUGGCUGCAUUUCACUGAAUGGUGAAAAUACCCUUCUGCCAUUUGCAGCUGGGUAUUAUUAGUUUUCAUAAAUACAUUAAAAAAUAUAUUAAAGGAAAUAUUUGGUGAAGGUUUCCCACUCAUGUAUAUACUGUAACAAACAAUCACAUGCCCAGCUCUAGUGUAGGCAAAGUUUCCACUGAGCUCAGUGGAAAGUGUUAGAGGUGGAAAUACUUUUCUGUGGCAUGCCCAAAACUGGAUACAGGCACAGAAUUCACCUUACUCUGAACAAUCACAAGAACUUUAAAUGAGUCACUGCUUUAAUUUUUUAAGAACUUUAACUUAUGUUAAUAAUUUUGAAUUUUUUGACAUGGCAGAGAUGGAAAAGGACAUGUGCACACAGCCUUUUCCCACUGAUGGAAUCUUUAAAACACUCAGGGGAGCUAUCCCUUGGCUGCUCCGUAAUCACGUAUUUCAAACCUUGAAUUACUCUGGUAUGUAAAUACUGAUAAUAGCUAAAUAUAAUUGAAAGUGGCCACAUACACAUGUGUACACCAUAUUCAUGUCAGGAUAUUUUCCUGGGUCUUCAGCACCAACUUUAGCACUUGAACUUUAGCACUUGAAACAAAGGCUCUUUUGUCUAUAAUCAAAGUAGCAGGCUGAACAGUAAUGUGCCCAGCCUCAAGAAAAGCAGCAUUAAGCAUUCACUUCUUAAAGGCAUCAAUAUUGCUAAUGAUUUCAAACCCCCAACUCAGGCCUCCUGAAACCAUUAGACAGGCCUUACAACCAUCAGUGCUAAGACAACAAUAAAAAUGUAAGGAGAUUUUUUAAAUUUUAUUUUAUUUAUUCAUCUGGUUUUUGAAUCUUUACAAGCCUGUGUUUUAAAUUUUCGUCAAUCAUCCUGGCAGACGGUUUUCAGGAGAAACUCAGCUUCUCCUGCUGCAAGAGCUGGGGCUUGAAAGGGGGCAAAAGUCACAUACACACAAAGAAAACUCAAUGCAAAUGUUAAAUAUCGAAUGGCCAUGAAAUCAGAACACUCAGUAGCAUGAGCAUAAACCUUUGUAGCCCACAAAAAUAUGCAGAAUAUCAGAGCCUGGUUAGGCUGACAUUUUAUCAUGGGUACUGCCCAUGCUGGGGGUGAGGGCAGCCCUGAUUCAGGCUGACUGCUUGGGCUCACAAGAGAUUUGCCAUCCUUACGUGGCCACUGACAGUAAGGCUCCUGCUGUCCUUUUGCAAAGCAACAAACCCUGGUACCUGGAAGGAAUACCCCUUGCAGCACCCCUGUUUAAGCAUUGGAAGUCCUUGUGUCCUCCCAUCUCCUGGCUCCAGCCCUGCCCCUUGCCCAAAGGCAAAGGUAGCUGGAUUGUAUUCUGCGUCUGAUCCAGCCACGAGGAAAAAACAUGCUUGAAGAGAAGUCCUUCUGCAUGCAAUCAGCAGCCUAAACCACAGAGAGAAAACUCUGCUUAUCUGACAGGCAACAUCAAGAAAACUGAACAUCAAAACUGAGCAUCUUCAGUGAGUUAGGUGGAGGGACUGGGGACCCUCAGGUUCUGUUGCAGGGCUUCACAGAGACUGAUAUUGAGAUAACGCUCCUUAGAAAGCAACCACCCUUAGAAAAUCAAAAACAGUGAUGAUCCCUAAAAGCAAAGCUCUGACAGUAUUAGUCUUUUCUGAAAAUCUCAGCAGGAGUUUUUAAUCAGGGUCAACCUUGAAAAGGAGAGACAAGUAAUGAUUUCCUACAGUCUGUAAAAUUCUGAUGAUGGUAAAGUAAACAUUGCUUUUACAGGGUUACAGAGUCAAUUUCCUAUCACUUUUCACUAGGACUAUUGUAGGGAAGCAUUUGGGUAACCACAUGUUGUGCUAAAAAAUCCUAAACACUAGCAAUAUUUCCUUUUUAGGAAAAGAGAGUUGUGAAUGAUUUAAAGCCUGAUUUGGUAAAUUAGGCCCUCUUUAGCUCUGAAAAGGAGUGGGGGAGAAGGGGGAGAGUACCAAAACUAUAUUGUACAUUACCAGAUUUCCAGGAUUCUGCAUUUUCUUACUCAUUAAACUUCACAUUGAAUAUGCAUCACUUCUCUGCACACAGUUCAAGCCCUAGGGAUUGUAGAGUUCAAAUAUAUUUUAAUUACGUUAUUUAUUAUUUAAAUUAUUUAAUUACAAAAAAUAACAGACUCUGCACAUGUUUGAAAAUGCCAUGAUGUACAACUAAAUCUUGAGUAAUUGUUAAAUUUCUUGCAGGCCUCCUGCUAGGAAGUACUGUUUUUCUUUAAAAGUGAGAACACUAUUAUAUCCGUCAGUGGAAAGUUUACACAUUGUAUUUCUUCUUUCAUAUGCCGUUAAACAUGAGGCUCUCUCAUUUCCCCCUUUCUUCAGAAGGCAGGAGACCCAUCUGGUAAUAUUCUGCAGAUCAGCAUUUCUUAAGGAGAGUUUGAUUUAAGUGGUGGUUUUGUUGAAGCAACGAAAAAGAAACUUAUGAACCUGGGUUAUAGUACUAUGUCUUGUGUUGUUAUUAAAGUUGCUCCAUGCUUGAUCCAUGCCAAAUAUAGACCUGUCUUUAGGCUGUGGAAAGUAAGAAGUAUUCUCUUCUCAUCACACUGUGUUUUGGAAUUGAAGACAAGAAAAAAUUGUCCAGUGUUUGCAUAGCUUUUGAAUUGCCAUCUAAUUUUGUUUGUUGACAAUU